RNAcentral lists this ribosomal RNA (141 nucleotides) under Papaver canescens. RNAcentral describes it as "partial 28S ribosomal RNA". It matches the Rfam family "Eukaryotic large subunit ribosomal RNA", at positions 1 to 141 of the family's 3401-position model. The record is from RNAcentral. Lineage: Eukaryota; Viridiplantae; Streptophyta; Magnoliopsida; Ranunculales; Papaveraceae.
CGACCCCAGGUCAAGCGGGACUACCCGCUGAAUUUAAGCAUAUCAAUAAGCGGAGGAGAAGAAACUUACAAGGAUUCCCCUAGUAACGGCGAGCGAACCGGGAACAGCCCAGCUUGAGAAUCGGACGGCUUUGCUGUCCGA